This 426-nucleotide ribosomal RNA is filed under the name uncultured bacterium. RNAcentral's name for it is "partial 16S ribosomal RNA". It matches the Rfam family "Bacterial small subunit ribosomal RNA", at positions 354 to 796 of the family's 1533-position model. The record is from RNAcentral.
GUGAGGAAUUUUCCGCAAUGGGCGAAAGCCUGACGGAGCAAUGCCGCGUGAAGGAUGAAGGCCUAUGGGUUGUAAACUUCUUUUCUCAGAAAAGAAUUAUGACGGUAUCUGAGGAAUAAGCAUCGGCUAACUCUGUGCCAGCAGCCGCGGUAAGACAGAGGAUGCAAGCGUUAUCCGGAAUGAUUGGGCGUAAAGCGUCUGUAGGUUGUUUAAAAAGUAUUCUGUCAAAGAUUAGGGCUUAACCCUAGAUAGGCAGAAUAAACUUUUAAGCUAGAGUUUGGAAGAGGCAGAGGGAAUUCCCGGUGGAGCGGUGAAAUGCGUAGAUAUCGGGAGGAACACCAAAGGCGAAGGCACUCUGCUGGGCCAAUACUAACACUGAGAGACGAAAGCGAGGGGAGCAAAUGGGAUUAGAAACCCGAGUAGUCC